Molecule: long non-coding RNA, 1111 nt
Organism: Anguilla rostrata (American eel)
Lineage: Eukaryota; Metazoa; Chordata; Actinopteri; Anguilliformes; Anguillidae
Exons: 3
Source: RefSeq, a predicted model, not a curated record
CGCGGCGCUCUGUACUUGUUCUUAGAGUUAAUAGUAAUAGUGCUGGCCAGUCGGCGGUGAGAUGAAUUCCCCUUUGGUAGGAACAGUCAUAUCCGCAGCUAUCACACGACAACCAAUAUCUGUGUAAUUUCCACAUCAUCUUGAACGUGCUCCACGAAAUCAUCCUUUCAGUGGCAGCUACUGCGGUGCACCAACUUGUUGGGUCGGACCCUUCAGACCGUGAAGGCGAUAGCUGAAGUUAAACAUCUAAUGCAUCUUCUGAAAAUGACUUCAGAGGCAUGGCUGAGUUCAGCACUACCCCAAUGGACGUUCUGUACUGCAGUAUAACAGAAAACUGCAGUGACCAACCUGGAACCUCUCGCCACUCAGAAGCAGAUGACCGGAGAGAACCAGGGGAGGUGCUGGGAGCCGCGUGUCCACUGAGGCCCAAGAACCCGUGCUGCUACCCAGGGUUCCGGUUCCACACCUCCAGAACCCUGGUUCCAGGACUCCAGAACCCUGGUUCUGCUUCUGCCCCACUCUCACUUCUGCAGUAAGAACCUAGACACCCCCACCAUCACUCCCACCAUCACCCUCACCCCCACCCCCACCCCCACUCACAAAUAAUGCACAAGUACAUGAACUACACUAUGUGGAGUUGUGUUAUUACUAGAAUAGCCCAUUGCCCUCAAAGGACUCAGUUAGAGGAAGUCUGCCCUGCCCUUAUGCACAAUGCACUGUCGUCUCAUUUAAACACACAUGAAAUCCUGCUACUUUGCCAGCUAAAGAAACACUUCCCUGAUUUGUCAUUUAUAUUUCUCAUUAAGAGCAAAAAGGCUUUUUUUCUACCAGUGAAGAGAUUCGGAAAAUCCAUUAUUUAAUUUCAGUAAUUCUCAGCUUGUUUUCUACCUUAUACAUCUGUUUUCAUUAAUCAAAUUGUGAUGAUUAUGGAUGAUUAACAAGAGUUAAUUUAAGGAAAACACACCAGCAGCUGGUACCUUUAAGCUUAAUUAGGAAAUUAAAUUGUGGUUUAUAACCUAUGUGCACUUCACACCAAUCAUUUUAAUGACAUGACAUGACAUGAAGGUGGAGUGUAAAGCUAGGCAUGUUAUUAAACGCCUUUAUUUAAAAU